GACUCCAUAGUGUAGUGGUUAGCAUGUCUGCUUUACACACAGAAGGUCCUGCGCCCCAGGUGGAGCCA
Molecule: transfer RNA, 68 nt
Filed under: Pteropus alecto (black flying fox)
Lineage: Eukaryota; Metazoa; Chordata; Mammalia; Chiroptera; Pteropodidae
Rfam family: tRNA
About the family: Transfer RNA (tRNA) molecules are approximately 80 nucleotides in length. Their secondary structure includes four short double-helical elements and three loops (D, anti-codon, and T loops). Further hydrogen bonds mediate the characteristic L-shaped molecular structure. tRNAs have two regions of fundamental functional importance: the anti-codon, which is responsible for specific mRNA codon recognition, and the 3' end, to which the tRNAs corresponding amino acid is attached (by aminoacyl-tRNA synthetases). tRNAs cope with the degeneracy of the genetic code in two manners: having more than one tRNA (with a specific anti-codon) for a particular amino acid; and 'wobble' base-pairing, i.e. permitting non-standard base-pairing at the 3rd anti-codon position.
Source: Rfam by way of RNAcentral